This 2145-nucleotide ribosomal RNA is filed under the name Fusochloris perforata. RNAcentral's name for it is "eukaryotic LSU rRNA". It matches the Rfam family "Eukaryotic large subunit ribosomal RNA", at positions 38 to 2213 of the family's 3401-position model. Lineage: Eukaryota; Viridiplantae; Chlorophyta; Trebouxiophyceae; Microthamniales; Microthamniaceae. The record is from RNAcentral.
GCAUAUCAAUAAGCGGAGGAGAAGAAACUAACCAGGAUUCCCCUAGUAACGGCGAGCGAACCGGGAAGUGCCCAACUUGUAAAUCUCCGCCUUGAAAAAGGCGGCGAAUUGUAGUCUAUAGAAGCGCCCUCUGCAGCAGGUCGGUCUCAAGUCCCUUGGAAGAGGGUGUCAGAGAGGGUGAGAGCCCCGUCGGCACCGACACUUGCUGCUCCACGAGACGCUUUCGAAGAGUCGGGUUGUUUGGGAAUGCAGCCCAAAGCCGGUGGUAAAUCCCAUCUAAGGCUAAAUACUGACGGGAGACCGAUAGCGAACAAGUACCGUGAGGGAAAGAUGAAAAGAACUUUGAAAAGAGAGUUAAAAGUGCUUGAAAUUGUUGAGGGGGAAGGGAUUGGAGGCUGUGGGUGCAGUCGGGCUUAUGGGGCGCGCCAGCGCCUCUGUAUGCACCGAGUGCCGGUCAGCAUCGGUUGUUCGGGCGGGAUAAAAGCGGCCUUUUGUAGGCCGCCCAUGCCGCCUGGGCGAUCGAGGAGUAAGGUACCCCGGUCUGCUUGCAGAUCAGUGCCCUCACGAUGCUGGCAGAAGGCCUCCAAUCCGCCCGUCUUGAAACACGGACCAAGGAGUCUAACAUGUAUGCGAGCGGGUGGGUUGCAAACCCAUGACGCGCAAGUAACCUGACUGGUGGGAGGGCGCAAGCCUGCACCAUCGACCGACCAUGAUCUUCUGUGAAAGGUUUGAGUACGAGCAUGCCUGUUGGGAACCGAAAGAUGGUGAACUAUGCCUGAACAGGGCGAAGCCAGAGGAAACUCUGGUGGAAGCUCGUAGAUGUGCUGACGUGCAAAUCGCUUUUCGGACUUGGGUAUAGGGGCGAAAGACUAAUCGAACCAUCUANUAGCUGGUUCCCUCCGAAGUUUCCCCCAGGAUAGCUGGAGCUCGAUUCUCAGUUUUAUCAGGUAAAGCGAAUGAUUAGAGGUACCGGGAGUGAAACAUUCUCGAACUAUUCUCAAACUUUAAAUGGGUAAGACGUCCGGGUUGCUUAACUGAACCCGGGCAUUCAAUGUGAGCUCCAAGUGGGCCAUUUUUGGUAAGCAGAACUGGCGAUGCGGGAUGAACCGAUAGCUGAGUUAAGGUGCCGGACUGUGCGCUAACCUAGAUCCCACAAAGGGUGUUGAUUGAUACAGACAGCAGGACGGUGGUCAUGGAAGUCGAAAUCCGCUAAGGAAUGUGUAACAACUCACCUGCCGAAUCAAUUAGCCCCGAAAAUGGAUGGCGCUAAAGCGCACGACCCACACUCAGCCAUGGGAGCAAGUGCGAAGCUCCCAUGAGUAGGAGGGCGUGGCCGUUGUGAAGAAGCCUGCGACGUGAGUCGGGGUCGAACGCCGGCUAAUGCAGAUCUUGGUGGUAGUAACAAAUAUUCAAAUGAGAACUUNGAAGACUGAANUGGAGAAAGGUUCCAUGUGAACAGCAAUUGGACAUGGGUGAGCCGAUCCUAAGAGAUGGGGCAGUCCUGUGUGAAGGGCGCAAUCUUGCGCCGCCCAUCGAAAGGGGAAAGGGUUAAAAUUCCCUUGCCUGGACAAGGCGGCUGACGGUAACGUGAGCGAGCCCAGAGACGCCGGCGGUGACCCUGGGGAGAGUUCUCUUUUCUUUUUAACGGCUCGAAGGCCCUGGAAUCGGAUCAUCCGGAGAUAGGGCCCAGCAGCUGGUAAAGCGCCACACUUUUGUGGCGUCCGGUGCGCCACCGAUGGCCCCUGAAAAUCUGGGGGAGCAUUUCCGUCCUUGCCAGGUCGUACUCAUAACCGCAUCANGUCUCCAAGGUGAACAGCCUCUAGUCGAUAGAACAAUGUAGAUAAGGGAAGUCGGCAAAAUGGAUUCGUAACUUCGGGAAAAGAAUUUGCUCUGAAGGUUGGGCUCAGGGGUCUGUGACUUGAACCUGGGGGCUGUUCCAUCGUCUGCCCGAGCCGCCUCGGUGGCGAAGGCGGAACUUGGCAUGCCCCCGGCGGAUGGUCUCAGAAUGCUUCGGCGCUCCCUGGGCGACGAACAACCAACUCAGAACUGGUACGGACAAGGGGAAUCCGACUGUUUAAUUAAAACAAAGCAUUGUGAUGGUCCCAAAGGAUGUUGACACAAUGUGAUUUCUGCCCAGUGCUCUGA